AAAUGUAAUGUUGAUCUGUAAUGUGAUUAAUUAUAAUGAAGAUGAUUGAUGACUUAUAGUAAGAGAAAAAUGUGAUUAAUUAUAAUAUGUUGAUCUGUAAUGUGAUUAAUUAUAAGGACUUAAUGAAUAUCGAAGCCAAGAUGAUUUAUGGUUUUAAUGCGAUGGUUAAAGGUUUGUAACAGAUGAUAAAGUGAGUUAUAGCGAAGUCAGGAAAGAUACAGUCUCAUGAUGAGUGAGGCCUCGCUGACAAGAUGUCGCAAGCUGGGGAAGCAAGGGACUUUCGCAAGACUCAGUGAACAGGCUGGGGAAGCAAGGGACUUUCGCAAGACUCAGUGAACAGGGUGGGGAACACCGGGGAUUACACAAUGAGCAGCAGAUGUUCAGGAAGCCACAGGAGCUCGCCAUACACACAUAUGGGAGUGGAAAAGCAGAAGUUCAAGAA
Molecule: long non-coding RNA, 442 nt
Organism: Xiphophorus couchianus (Monterrey platyfish)
Lineage: Eukaryota; Metazoa; Chordata; Actinopteri; Cyprinodontiformes; Poeciliidae
Exons: 2
Source: RefSeq, a predicted model, not a curated record